Molecule: ribosomal RNA, 487 nt
Filed under: uncultured bacterium
Lineage: Bacteria
Description: bacterial SSU rRNA
Rfam family: Bacterial small subunit ribosomal RNA
Source: RNAcentral
AUUGAACGCUGGCGGCAGGCCUAACACAUGCAAGUCGAGCGGUAGAGAGGUGCUUGCAUCUCUUGAGAGCGGCGGACGGGUGAGUAAUGCCUAGGAAUCUGCCUAGUGGUGGGGGAUAACGUUCGGAAACGGACGCUAAUACCGCAUACGUCCUACGGGAGAAAGCGGGGGAUCUUCGGACCUCGCGCCAUUAGAUGAGCCUAGGUCGGAUUAGCUAGUUGGUGAGGUAAUGGCUCACCAAGGCGACGAUCCGUAACUGGUCUGAGAGGAUGAUCAGUCACACUGGAACUGAGACACGGUCCAGACUCCUACGGGAGGCAGCAGUGGGGAAUAUUGGACAAUGGGCGAAAGCCUGAUCCAGCCAUGCCGCGUGUGUGAAGAAGGUCUUCGGAUUGUAAACUGCUUUGUACGGAACGAAACGGUGAGCUCUAAUACAGUUUGCUAAUGACGGUACCGUAAGAAUAAGCACCGGCUAACUACGUGCCAG